Molecule: non-coding RNA, 2615 nt
Organism: Podarcis lilfordi (Lilford's wall lizard)
Lineage: Eukaryota; Metazoa; Chordata; Lepidosauria; Squamata; Lacertidae
Source: the annotation of a GenBank genome assembly
GGCGCCCGGAGCGCGCAUCUGGGGGGCGCCCUCUUCGCAAGCGCCGCUGCUGUAGCUUUCGACCCAGAUAUGCUUGUUUUGGGAGAGAUCCUGGCUUUCCCAGGAAGCCAAGUUUGAAGGUCUCGCGCACUGCGGUUGCCUCAAGCGUGUUAUGGCGACGCGCGGGCGCGAGUACACACUGGAGGUUAAAGGGUUCGUAUGUGGUGCGCAGAGGGAAGGCUGCUGUGUUUGCCAGGCUGGGGGUCGGGGAUUUGAAGGGCGAGGCUCAGAAGAGGGUGGUCUCCUUGCGUUUGUUUUCUUGAAAAAGAGCCCCACGGAGCUCAGUCCCAAAGAAACGUACCUGAGACUGGGGUGUUAAGCAUAGCUGUCAACUUCUCCCUUUUCUUGCGAGGAAUCCUAUUCGGAAUAAGGGAAUUUCCCGUUAAAAAAGGGAAACGUUGACAGCUAUGGAAGGGGUUUUGGGGAGAAUUAAAGUUAGACCAUCUUUCGGUGGUGCCCUCAGGACAAGGCUAGGGGGCCCUCCUCAGCAGGAGAAGUAGGAGGGUCCCCCAAAUGCUGUAGCAUUUGCGAAGAGGUGAAGUAAUAAAUGGGAAAGCUAUCAAACCAGUCCGGAGUCUAAAAUUGCCCGACUGCACCACUACCUUCCUCCAGCUUGUGAGACUUACUAGGAAGUGUCAUAAAACACAAUGGGCCUAAGACUAGUAAACAUGUACAAGAUUCAUAGCUGUCAACUUUCAGAUUUGAAAAUAAGGCAUCAGCAGCCUCGAAAAUAAGGGAUCAGCAGCCUCACCUGUCCCAGGGACAGUGUACGGGAUAUCUAACAAUCCGGGAUAGCAGCGGGAAACGGAGCUGGAAUAAGGGAAUUUCCAGCAAAAAAAGGGAAGGUUGACAGCUAUGACAAGAUUGCUCUGCUUGUCUGUUGCAGGAAAAAAAAGAAAAGCUGGCAAGAAAAAUGCCUUGUAAUUAGCACCUUGGUAGCGAACAGAUUUAUUUUAGCAUAUCCUUUGGUGGGUUAGAGUCUACUUAAUCAGAUGCAUGAAGUGGCAAAGCAGGCUUGGUUUCAUAAAAAUGUAUGCCACAACAAAUCUGUUGGUCUUUAUAUCAGGGAUGGGGAACAUGUGACCCUCCAAAUGUUCUUGGAUUACAACUCUCACCAGCCAUUAUAGCCAGUGGUCAAGUGUAAUGAGACUUGUUGUCAUAUCUAUUUGCAGCAUUGCUAGAAUGAAGGGUGACUGUGACCCCCUCACUCACUCAUUCAUGCUUGGCCAUGGUUUGGCUUAGUAUUAUAUGCGAACCAGCCCAGUGUAUCUGUUGGAACAGAGAGACUAGACAGAAAAGGUCUGGGUUAGCGGUUCUGUCCAAAUAGUAGCAAGCUACCUAGAGAGAUCCCAUUGUUUUUCUUUACUGUUUGCUUGUCAUGCUGCCUGUGUUUCAAAAGUAGGCAUUCAGAUGUUAACCAUUUCUUUUUAAAAUUGGGGCCUCAGGGACUAAUGUAAAGUGAGAGCAGCCAGUUCCCAUGUUCUCCAGGCUGCUCUGUUUUUGUGACACUGGUCUGGGGGCUGGGAUAUUAUUUUUUUGCACAGAAAAUUUGCAUCACUUAGCAGCAAGGGGUGGGAAGAAUGUUUUCGAAAGUAAGAAAUAACCACCCCCACCCCGCACAGUGAUACCCUGAUCCAUUUUGCAUCUCCCCCCCUACAGUGGAUCCAAUCAUGGCACAUCAGUUUGGCCUGUGAUACUAAAAUGAAAAUAAAAUCAAUGCCUACUUAAUCUACAUCAACUAAAAUGAGAAGGAAACCUGGUGCUCAGGCUUCAUCUUCGGCAAGUCUACAGCCAAAAUGAGAAUAUUGAAAGCCAGUGUGAUCUCACACACCAAAUUAGUACCGUUAAUUAUCAGCAUGACACUGCAGUUCAUUUGGUAAAUUAUCAAAGGAUAAUUUAACUGGGCAAUAUAGUUGAGAUUAUCUAUACUAAUUGGGAUCUUUUAAAGAGACAUUUGCUAUUAAGCAACAUCAGUACAUGAUGUAUUAAUUACAAGUUGUUACCUUUCCUUGUAUGCUAGCAUGAAAUGGAAUGGAGGAAAUAAUUAAAAUAAUUCCUCAGCAAUCCUGUUUGUCCCACCAAUGAGUGUUAGGGAGGCAAUGCAGACGUGCCUUUUAAGCUGCAUUCCAAGUUGAAAUUUAGCAGAUGAAACCAUCACAGAUGAUGGGAGUUGUAGUCCAGUACUGUAUACUGGAGGCCACGUACUAAUUCUCCAGUGAUUAUGAAAGCUACCAAUUAUUUGUCAAAAAUCCUGAAGGUCCUAUAGAUGCCUACUACCCAAGAUUACUUCAUAGGGUUUUAGCAUAUUUCCAUUUACUUUCACCACCCCUUUGUUGUCAGUCAAACUAUAAGUUAGAAAGUGGAAGCAGAAAAUUUAUGAACUGAUACCUAGGCCAGCUGGAAUACUUUCAACAAAAGGUUUGGACUCGUGAAGGUAACUAGAUAUGGCAGGUGGGUUGUGUUGUGUGUGGUUGCAGUGGUCUAAUUAUCUAUGUAAGCGUAUAUGAAAAAUGGUACCUUGUAGAACUGAAAUGUAAUCAAUAGCAAGCCAAAGAUUAAAGGUGUACUUUACCUGG